RNAcentral lists this ribosomal RNA (388 nucleotides) under uncultured bacterium. RNAcentral describes it as "bacterial SSU rRNA". It matches the Rfam family "Bacterial small subunit ribosomal RNA", at positions 28 to 417 of the family's 1533-position model. The record is from RNAcentral.
GACGAACGCUGGCGGCGUGCUUAACACAUGCAAGUCGAGCGGUAAGGCCCUUUCGGGGGUACACGAGCGGCGAACGGGUGAGUAACACGUGGGUGACCUGCCCUCAGCUCUGGGAUAAGCCUGGGAAACUGGGUCUAAUACUGGAUAUGACUCCACGGUGCAUGUCGUGGGGUGGAAAGCCUUGUGCGGCUGAGGAUGGGCCCGCGGCCUAUCAGCUUGUUGGGGGGUGAUGGCCUACCAAGGCGACGACGGGUAGCCGGCCUGAGAGGGCGACCGGCCACACUGGGACUGAGACACGGCCCAGGACUCCUACGGGAGGCAGCAGUGGGGAAUCUUGCGCAAUGGGCGAAAGCCUGACGCAGCGACGCCGCGUGAGGGAUGACGGCCU